AAAACAAAAAGUUUUAUUAAAGCAGUGGUUCUUAACCUGGGUUCGAUCGAACCCUAGUGGUUCGGUGAGUCGGUCUCAGGGGUUCGGUGGAGCCUCCGCCGCA
Long non-coding RNA from Melanotaenia boesemani (Boeseman's rainbowfish), 103 nucleotides. RefSeq lists it as uncharacterized. Lineage: Eukaryota; Metazoa; Chordata; Actinopteri; Atheriniformes; Melanotaeniidae. The record is from RefSeq and is a predicted model, not a curated record. The transcript is spliced from 3 exons.